AGUUUUCCUUCAUUAUUUUUCCAAAUAAGUUUUCAAUUUCUUGCUGUUCCUCUUCCACUUCUGGCACCCUUAUGAAUUGGAUAUUGGAGUGUUUGAAGCUGUGCCAGAAUUUCUUAAGUCUCUCUUCAAUUAUUUGAAUUCUUGUUUCUUCAUUCUGUUCCAAUUGAAUGUUUAUUUCUUCCUUCUGUUUCAAAUCAUUGAUUUGCAUCCAGUUUCUUUCCUUUCACUUUUGGUUCCCUUUACAUUUU
Molecule: long non-coding RNA, 248 nt
Organism: Phyllostomus discolor (pale spear-nosed bat)
Lineage: Eukaryota; Metazoa; Chordata; Mammalia; Chiroptera; Phyllostomidae
Exons: 3
Source: RefSeq, a predicted model, not a curated record